Carassius gibelio (silver crucian carp) is the source of this 1000-nucleotide long non-coding RNA. RefSeq lists it as uncharacterized. The record is from RefSeq and is a predicted model, not a curated record. NCBI's taxonomy places the organism in Eukaryota, Metazoa, Chordata, Actinopteri, Cypriniformes, Cyprinidae. The transcript has 8 exons.
CUGUAUCAGACUGAGUACAGAAGCGAAAUGAAAUUGACCGGAAGUAGGAAGUUUGACGUAGUCGGCUACGUACAGACACGAGGAUGUGAGGACGUCAGUGCUCCGUAAUCUGGACAAAAUGACAAGCCACGACAAAAGUCGAAAGUUUGUCUGGUUCUGGAUGAAGGUCCGUGUCGGUCUGUUGCCGUCUGACCUGUAGAAACGCCUCAUUAACAGAACAAACGAGCGCUGUACACUAAUGAGUGAAGAUCCAUUCCUGUGUGUCCUCUAAUAACGGCUGCGGUCAUUAGUGCUCCGCUGAGACUCUUCCUCAUCAUCAUCCUCUUCCUCACGAUCGACAGAAAAAAAAAUAUUUUGCAUUGGGAUUUAGAGUCUCUAAAUGGUUCUUCAUUGAGGAAAGAACAUCAGACUGGUUCAAAACAACAUGAAGCUAUCAUCUCGAGCAGCGGGAGGCCCAUAAGGUACUAGAUCGCCACUGACAAGGAGCUGCUGGGAGUGUGAUGGACUGUGAAAACCCCUGUAGAUCAAUGUGUAGAAAGAGGGAUUGUGGGAUUGCAUCUCUUUACUUUAGGGCCACAAUCAAAAGCAUCAGCUAAAUCCAGCCUGCCAUAUUAACUGGCCGCGAGGACAAGUGAGGCACUUAAUCUGCCAUCCUGAAUCGCGUGCAGACGAGCGGAUGGGUACCAGACUCCUGCCUGGAGCACAAGAGGGUGGAACGGGGCGGUCCUGGUGUCCGGCAGUGGUCGAUACUCACGCCAGGAGGACUGAAGGGUGCACCGCAGGCCGGCCGGCGUUACAGUAUGUGUGAAUGUUUGCAGCUGACCGUAACAAACCGCUGUGGAUCUUUGAGCUGUAGGUGCACUGAUCUUAUGUGAGGACAUGGUGUUGAACAGGAGUGCGAUGAAGCGUGACGACUGCCAAGAGAUGUCUGGAUCUCUGCUUUCUGUGCUUCAAGUAUAAAUGUGACUAAAUCACAUUUUAUUCACAUGUAAUUCAAAAU